AGGCGGAGCGAAUCGCUAAAAGCCGUCCCAGUUCGGAUUGCAGGCUGCAACCCGCCUGCAUGAAGUUGGAAUCGCUAGUAAUCGCGGAUCAGCAUGCCGCGGUGAAUACGUUCCCGGGCCUUGUACACACCGCCCGUCACACCAUGAGAGUCGGGAACACCCGAAGUCCGUAGCCUGACCGCAAGGGGGGCGCGGCCGAAGGUGGGUUCGAUAAUUGGGGUGAAGUCGUAACAAGGUAUC
This 240-nucleotide ribosomal RNA is filed under the name uncultured bacterium. RNAcentral's name for it is "partial 16S ribosomal RNA". It matches the Rfam family "Bacterial small subunit ribosomal RNA", at positions 1260 to 1500 of the family's 1533-position model. The record is from RNAcentral.